GCGUCCGUAGCUCAGCUGGAUAGAGUACCUGGCUACGAACCAGGCGGUCAGAGGUUCGAAUCCUCUCGAGCGCGCCA
This 77-nucleotide transfer RNA is filed under the name Vibrio cholerae. RNAcentral describes it as "tRNA-Arg(acg)". It matches the Rfam family "tRNA". Rfam says of the family: Transfer RNA (tRNA) molecules are approximately 80 nucleotides in length. Their secondary structure includes four short double-helical elements and three loops (D, anti-codon, and T loops). The record is from RNAcentral. Lineage: Bacteria; Pseudomonadati; Pseudomonadota; Gammaproteobacteria; Vibrionales; Vibrionaceae. RNAcentral also lists the same sequence under 15 other names.